This 1294-nucleotide long non-coding RNA is filed under the name Pogona vitticeps (central bearded dragon). Its description in RNAcentral is "lncRNA (ENSPVIG00000007661.1)". Lineage: Eukaryota; Metazoa; Chordata; Lepidosauria; Squamata; Agamidae. The record is from RNAcentral.
AGUCAUCUCUGCUUGGUGCUGACUGAGAUCUUGAUGGCAGAGAAGUNGGGGGGGGGGGGGUGCUGAGACCGAGAGCAAACGAGAGAGGGUGGCCCCAAAGCCAGCAAGCAGUUGUGAGGGGUCCCAUGCUGUGUGUGCGCGUGGGGGGGGUCUGCUGUGGCAAAAAGGAAAGCUCCCCACCCCCCCGGAAAGCCCUGUGCUGGUCACCAGCAGCUUUCCAGGCCAAUUCAAAAAAAAUUGGUAAACGUUGAAUAGCACCGACUGCGAUUUUAAUUCAUUUAUCUAAUCUGUUUUUAAUCAGAUUGGCCAGCACUUUGAACGCUAGCUUUUAGCAGGAGGACAGAAAUGCACAAGCUUUUGAAGACUCAACGGCCCCGGACCUCGCACAAGGACGACAGACAGCUCUCCACCUUCCUUGUUUUGCACUUUCCAACUAAAUGCAAAGGGCCUGAUCCAGACUGAGAUCAACGCUUCCAGAUCUGCAGGUGCCCUGGGCCCGUUCUGUCCGCGAUCAGGAACUGGAGAAGUAUCAACAGAUGGAAGGAUAUUCUUGGAAAGGCAGCAAGGGUCUGGCCAACGGGCGGUUCUCCCUGGAGGGAUAAGCCUGCCACAUGUGCGUGUUGGGUGAGAAGAGUGGGUGCUUUGGCUAACUGUUAUGGCUGGAAGCCCAGGAAACUCCAUGGCGUGGAGUCUCUACCCUGCACCACCGCAGGACUGGAUAGCUUCAAUCCUGGCUUGAUGGGUCAUGAUGUCCUUUCUGGAAUCCGGACUGUCCGGGCGAGAGGGCAGAUUUUUAUAGAGUCGGUCCCACCAUAAAUUAGCCCCUCAAAUAGGGAGUGUGUGGAAGAGGCAGCCCCUCCUUGCUCUAUUUCUUUGGCCUGAAUGGCUCCUGCUCCCCCUCCUCAACAGCUGAGGACUGCCUUAGGAAAGCCUGUUCCAGAUCUUAUUUUUAAAACCAGGCAUAAAGACUUUUUGUGUGUGUGACUGGAACGGCAUCUCCUUGCCUAGGGCCAGGGCUGCCUGCCAGAGUAGGUGGGCUGCCUGCCUGACACGCGAGUAGCCUCCUCUCAGGGUGACCCAAAGAAGGGAGUCCAGUCAGCUGCCUUGGCCAGCUCCUGGCACCUGGCUCAGCCAGUAGGGCAUCAUCCUAAGAGGCUGAGGUCACAGGCGGGUGGCAGGGGGGAAAGCCUUGCUCUUCUACCCCCUAGCCCCCCUCCCAUCAAAGGGACAUGAAGAUGCCCAAUUUGGGCUGAAUCGUGCUUUCCACUGCCCUACUCGGGGCUCUUUUGGACUA